UUCAUUUAUUUCGUUACAUUCCACGCGCCUCCUGUGCCGGGUGCUGCCCCCGGGGAGGAUGUCCCUGCCGACCCCCACCUUGUCGGCCGCCGCUCCUGGCCCGGGCGAAGUGGAGCUCCGGGAAAGGCAGGAAUCUGGGUGACCCCAUCCAAAUCCCACCAAGGCCGGCGUCCGCCGGAAAAUGCCACCACCAAAACCAGAGGAGUUGAGAGGUCUGAUAAACCGAAGGAGGAAAAACCAGUUGCUCCCGAGGAGGAAUCUCCCCAGAAACUUUUGAAUCAUUACAAAUCCCGGGAACGGCGAUGCUUUUGCACUUAAUAGAAACUAAAACAACGCCGAGGGCAAAGUCAUGUCAAAACAACAAAGUAUCGUGAAGGUAAACUGGAUUUACUCCCUGGCUUUCUGCUGAGUACGACACGCAAAGUUGUAAAUAGCUGAAUGUAUCUUCACUGCUCAUUUUAAAGGAGUUGCAUAGGAGGCAAAUUAUUUUUUAACAGAGAUGUAAGUUCUCAUUUCAAUAUCAACUCUUUGAAAUGUUCAGCUUCAUGGUACGGGUCACAACCACUGUGAGAAGAGACCCAUUUUGUUUUGAUUUAAGCACUGGUAAUGAAGCAGAAAAAAAUAUAGAAAAUACAAGAGAAAGAAUAUUGCUCAGUUUUCAAAUGCUGAUUGGUUACAAAACUAUUGGGGAAAAUCUUAAAAGAAUGAACAUUUUGAAUUUUGAAGACCUGGAAACAUUUAAACUAAUUUUAUCACAGAAACAUCAUAGUUAAAACUAAACAUUUACUCUAUUUUGUUUUCUUCAAAAUGCAAUUUUUAUAUUCCAAGUGCUAGAAAUUGUUUUGAAUGCCUGUUGUUCACCAAAAUCAUAUUCCAGUGCCUGAUGAGCAUAUUUCAAUGUUUUCUGCACCAGGUGCUAGGUUUAAAAGUAAUAUUUAAACAAAUUUCUUUCUCCCUGUUCUAGUUUGGGAAAUUAGUUUUCCAUACUGCAGUGCAGUCUGAAACACUGUGGCUGUGGGUUCUGCCUCAGUGUUGCUCCUUCCCCCAUCAGAGUCAAUUUUGUGUAGGUGGACAAGAAAAUGAGGGAUGACCUCUGGGUAUUAGGCUUUAAAAUAAGAAAUGUAACUUGUAUUCUAUAAUUUUAUUUCUCCUGAACAGUAAGCAAAUGGUCACAGUAGAGGGAAGGACUCACUCUGUGGCUGGUGUCCAAAUUAAAGCAGUCAGCUAAAGAAUAGCCCUUCCCUCCUCACAUCGAGAGACUGAGGAAUCUCACUUGGGACAUCGGGAUCUCACUUCUCCUCUGUGUCCUGCUUGUGAGAGAUAAUAUUUCAGACAGAGGGAGGUAGGUGGCAGAGGAAGACUGCAGCUUGAGAGAGUAAGUGUCUCGAUGGAAGGAAACAAGAAAUUCAUGUUUUCAGCAGAGCACAAACAGAGAACUUAGUCCUCACAGCUGCAAAAUCCAACUCCAUCUUCAGAAAUGAGGCUGGAAAAACAAACAAGAAGGGGAGAGGAAAACAAUAAGAAAGGAAUGAACAAACAUACUAACACCACAGGGCUUUUUUGCUGGGAUCUUCAUGCUGGAUGGUCAUACUUUUUAAGAAGAAUCUCUUCUCAUGCUGAAGGCGGGCACUUCCCUGAAGAGCAAAGAGUUUUACCUGUACCUAUGAAUCAGUCAGUGAGCUGGCACAGGAGCCGGGGAAUUGGCUGGGACCUGGCUUUACUGGUUUUGCUGUGCAGAGAUGCUGCUGCCUCCAGAAGCCCUUGUGCACGUUCCUGGGGUAAGCAGGUAGCUGCUUGCCAGGCAGCUGAAGCAGGGGCUGAGGGUGAUUUCCAGGGAAAUCAGAAACACUCAAGAAAAAACUGUUGGGGAAAGCUUGUCAUCGGCUCCAUGCUCCAGAUGUCCAGAGGAAGAUCAGGAUACUCAGGAACCCCUUACAGCUCUUUUCUCUCUAGAUAUUAUAUAUAAUAAUAAAUAUUUAUGCUGUGUGCCUUGUCCCAGCCUCCUGCCCUCCCAAGGACAGAAGUUUGUCUUUCAGCAUGUCCCUCCAGCCGGCAUGUGGCAAACCAUGUUUCAGUCUCUUGCCUUCCAGCACCAGGCAAACUCCACAGUCCUCGCAUUCCUGCCGCAUGGGACACCCCACUCCUGCCUUUUCCCACAUGGAGCACAGCCUGCUGCCAUGCUCAGGGGGAAAACACACACUGAUUAUUGGGUGCUGUGCCCUUUCCCAGGGGGAGCUUUAAGCUUAUGCCUCCCUUCUCUGCCAGAGUCCUCCUUUCUACCCUUUUAACUGGAGCCAAGUGGCAGCUCCAGUGUGGUUCCUUCAGUUUGUGUGGUGAGACUUCACUCUGCGUGUGCCUUCAGCAGAUGUCCUCCACUUCUGCAGGCCCAGUUUGGAUUUGGACAUUUUCCUAGGAAGCUGCACCCUCAACUCAGCCCUGCAUAAGCAGCAUUCCUGGUGUGGACGGCCAGCUGGCUGUUACAACCUUUUUUCACACCAUGCUAUGUAAAACUACACAGGGCAGGUCUUGUUGAUGUGUGAAAAACGCUUCUAACAGUCUGCUCCCAUGUGCACUGAGGUUUCCAGCUCAGAGACUCUCUGACCCCCAGUGAGCAACAGUGCUGGAAACAAGGAAAUGACUUUCUAUUGGCAGGGAAGGGAGAAGAAAAUGAGUUGAGGAACAGGCUUGGUUUUCAGAAGAACAGAAGUUUCCAGAAGCAUGCUGAUUGAGGGUUGGCACUGUGGGCCAACAGCAAGUGCAGUAAGAAUGACCCUAAAGAAACACUUGUUAUACACACAGCUCUUUUAAAAGACUGGUUUACUGAUUAUUUUACAUGUAUUGACUACUUUCCACUGGUCAGUUUGCGCAUAAUACAUGUAUAUUUGGCUUUUCUGGGUAAAUGGGGCUUGUGACUGCUCAGAAUGGCACACCACUGGUGUAUCAGUCACACAGGACAUAAAGCCAGAUAAACAUAUUCUGACAUGUUGUCACAAAUGGACAGCUCAUUAUAAAGGAGGCAAUAAAAGUGGUUAAAAAGUG
This is a long non-coding RNA of Parus major (Great Tit), 3039 nucleotides long. RefSeq lists it as uncharacterized. The transcript has 6 exons. The record is from RefSeq and is a predicted model, not a curated record. Lineage: Eukaryota; Metazoa; Chordata; Aves; Passeriformes; Paridae.